UAGGGAAUCUUCGGCAAUGGACGAAAGUCUGACCGAGCAACGCCGCGUGAGUGAAGAAGGUUUUCGGAUCGUAAAACUCUGUUGUUAGAGAAGAACAAGGACGUUAGUAACUGAACGUCCCCUGACGGUAUCUAACCAGAAAGCCACGGCUAACUACGUGCCAGCAGCCGCGGUAAUACGUAGGUGGCACGCGUUGUCCGGAUUUAUUUGGCGUAAAGCGAGCGCAGGCGGUUUCUUAAGUCUGAUGUGAAAGCCCCCGGCUCAACAGGGGAGGGUCAGUGGAAACUGGGAGACUUGAGUGCAGAAGAGGAGAGUGGAAUUCCAUGUGUAGCGGUGAAAUGCGUAGAUAUAUGGAGGAAAACCAGUGGAGAAGGCGGCUCUCUGGUCUGUAACUGACGCUGAGGCUCGAAAGCGUGGGGAGCAAACAGG
Molecule: ribosomal RNA, 429 nt
Filed under: Gemmatimonadota bacterium
Lineage: Bacteria; Pseudomonadati; Gemmatimonadota
Description: Gemmatimonadetes bacterium partial 16S ribosomal RNA
Rfam family: Bacterial small subunit ribosomal RNA
Source: RNAcentral